AGGAGGAGUACUCUUCGUUCAUAAGAGGAACCACCACCGUCCUUGGAGGGAUGCUCAAGAACCAUCCGGACCGUGAGGAGGAUGUUCUCUUGUUUGCUGGAAAGCACCCCAUGUCCUUGUUCUACCUCAGCAGUGCGUGUGACGAGUAUGUACGAGACAUCACCGGUACCUCCUCUUCAAGGAAAAGGCUCAGGGUUAAAAAUCUUGGGGUGCUGGAUCUCCGAACGGGUGCCAUGGACACGCGAGUGUACGAAGAUCCUGGGAAGAUGGACGAACCAGAAGGUUUCCUAGAUGAUGAGCAGGCGUGGCAGGCGGUGCUGCUGAAGUUUAAGCAGGGAGGACCAUUCAAAUCCAUACGGAAGUACAUCAACGAUUACAAGGGCCCGGAGGAAUCUUUACGUGAUCCUGCAUCGGUGUCCAAGAGUUUUGUCAGCGGAGAUGGUAGUUUCUGCACCGACUUCAUCCAUGCAGUCCAUUUAGAGGCAGCUUUGGAGCGCUUGAAGGGCCUGGUUUUCCGUUCGCCGACAUUCCAGGCCAUUGUGAAGGGUAAACUCGAUGACCCGGACAUCAUCUGGCCCCAGAUCGGAUGGGCCUGCGAGGGGUUUGUAGCAGAGGCUAUCAUGGCGGUGGGGCUGAAAUUCAAGCAGCGUGUGCGUCGUCCAGUGGAGCUGAAGAGUCUAAAUGGUGAACCCGUGCGGUUAGAUCCAAGGCAGUGGGAGCCUUUGAAGCCCGUGUACCUGAAACCAGGCAGGUACUCUUUCAAGUACAUUGACGGGGUUAUCGCGUGGGUUGACGAGAAAGGGGUGAUGCAUUUCUUAGCGCUUCAGGUGACGGUCAGCCUGGAGGGACACACCAAAACGGAGUAUCAGUUCAUGCAACGAGCACAAGUGGAACGCUGGUACACUGGACCCUGCAUCUGGUACUAUGUUUACCUCUGCCCUGUGAAGGUAGAAUCGUUGGAGGAGUCCCGGAAGGCUUCUUCUUCCAGAGGAGGUUCAUCGCCCACGUCCAGCAGGCCGGUUCAGUCACAAGAGACGUUGGUGGAGUACCAGAGGGAACAGCUCCAGUUUGAUCAGUGCUUUGAGCAAAAUCUGGGACAGGAGGAAGUGUUGCUCCUCCGGAAGCUCGGGGAAGUCAGGGAGAGGGAAAUGGAACGGAGGAAGAAGGCCAAAGCCAUGCAAGAGCACAGCUAUCGCCAACUUCUAAAGAGCUUGCCUCCUCGGAAAUGGGCACUCUACAAGAGACUGAAGACGAGAGAAUUGCUGGAAGUGGAGGCCAAGAAAUGCGGCAUCAGUGACCCGUCCCCCAAGAACUACAAGAACAUCUACGUCUUGCUUUCAGCCAUGGACGUUUAAAUUGGUUUCUCAGGAUUUUGGGAUUUAACCUGGGACUAUUUGGAGCUUCCAGAAGAUGUCCAUCAUCGUCCAGUCUCCUGUCUGGACGAUGACAACAGGAUCUAUCUUCUGCUGCAGAAACUAGAGGGUGGUGGCCCGGACUUAAAUCAGAUUCAGAACGGAGGUGGAAGAGCCAUUUUCUGGUGCCUAUCUGGUAUUUUCAGUUCAUCCGGCUGCACAUCUUAACCGUUCUACUCUGGUAGUCUGGGGAGGAAAGCUUGUCAUGGUGCGGCAGGACAGUAUUUUUGUUUUGAUCGUUAGAUGUUUGUGUGCUUUUCCUUUCUAGUUUGGUUUCCAACAAUCGUUUUCCUUUUUCCAGCAAUCGUUGAGUGCGAGUCCAUUUUGCAUAGAGAAGUGUGUGAUUCUCAAUGCAACAAGUGAUCAACGUUAACUACAUUCCUUUGAACAAUUUGGUCACCAUGGUCACGGUAUGGUGUUUCCCAGCCGAGAAAUGCGAUCGGUUGUGGCGUUUCUUCUCUACAGCAGCAUGGACCCGAGAACCUGAAAGCUGUUAAGGAGUUUUGGGGGCUGGCAAAGUGGGUACACCAAGCCAUGGCUGCUGAAGAGUCCGGUUUAGCAACACAGGCCAUCUUGUGCUACAUGUUUGAAAUCUAAAACAAAACAUUGUUAUAGUACUUUUCAUAUAACUCCAUUUACAUAUAGCUGCACAUUCCUUGGUCUCAGGUUGGUCAACCGCCACAGACUCAUGCCCACCAGACUCCUGCCAGUUAAUUGCCACAACCUUAGCUUGCUCAACUACUACAUGCAAUCUUUAUGCUUGGUUUAAUAGCAUGUUGGUGUUUAAAUUGUAGUUGACUUGUGAACUUCAUGAACUUGAAUAAGACAUAAGCACUAUACAUCUUUGAUUAUAUGGUGUGUUAUUUGUAAAUUCCCUAUAUUGUAGUUGCUCAGAAAACCCACAUGUGGCAUAGUCUAGGUGGCAUUCUCCAAUCUAGAUGCCAAUGAGAUGGACAUAUAGACUAUAAAAUGAUGGGUCAUACAUGUGGGUCAUAUAUGUAGCAUGGAUGACCAAUACCAUAUCCCAUUGUCUAAGUGUAACUUAGGGUUCUUGAGGAGGAAAGGGUUUUUAAUUUCACUAGUGUGGUUGUUGUGGCAGUGAAAUUGGUUUGGUUUUUUGGCAGUGCCUAGAGACAUCCAUAAUGAGUAAGUCUUGCUUAUAGCUCAAGUUUGUGAAAUUGGACUCAAAUGUAAAUGUUGUAAACAUGUGUAUAAAUUGCGGGGUUGCUAUUAGGAUUCAAUUCCAACACUUUUUCAUUUAGCAAGAGUGAAGAUGAAGAUGGAGAUCUUGACAUUUCAAUGCUGAGUAGAUGAAUCUUUGAAUUGGACAGUCUUCAUUAUGGUAUUUCUUGUAGGGCUUCAAUAAUUUUGUGAGGUUGAGGGGAUUUGCUAGUGCAGUGGCAUUUCAUAUAUGGAUGCCCUUGAAGAUUCUCGAAACAAAAACCAAAGCUUAUCUUGCAAAUGAUUUAUAUAUGUAGUGAAGUAACCUAAUGAAUUGAAAAUACCAUAUCAACACCAGAAAUAGCUCAAAAUUCUAAGGGCUCUUCUUCAUUUUGAAUAUGAGGUAAUAGUCACUUAUGCAGCCACCCUCUAGUUUUUGUAAUAGAAGAUAGGUUUUGUUGUUAGCCUUAUGGUUCCAAUUAUUUAUUGGAAGCUCUAAAUACUCUUAAGAUUCAUAGACUUUUGAGAAUAACACUUCUUCUCUUUGGAACCUACUACAUAUUUUUUUUGGGCCACAUAAAGUGGUGAAACUUCAAGGUCAAUUUUUUGCAAACUUAGAAAAUCCUGUAAAUUAAUCUUGGCUGUUAGUUUAGAUAUCUAGAGGGUUUAAGCUAUACAAGAUUUUAAGUUGUGCAAAAUUGCAAUGUCAUUGUAUUCAUGUGUAAAGAUAAUAAAGGGAAGGCAUGACAAUGGUGAUGCUAAUACUAAUAUUGUGGUGGGGAGGCACAAGAUGUUAUAGAUGAGCUUCUAAUUAUGUAACUUAUUUAGACAAGUUUUUGGCCAUUUGAUAGAAUGACAAAGAGGAGGUGUUAAAGAUAUUCUUGAAGUAAGUAAAUGUUAAAGAAAAUAGGCAACUGUUAGUUUUAGGGGAUGCCACUUAGGCACUAAAGGCAUUUUCAACAAACAUUUUAUCAUUUAUAAUGGUUUCAAAAGCCUCUAGGGCAAGUUAAGCAACUAAAAUCAUUUAGCUAGCAAUAGCGAGAGAUAGAGAUUAUGCUAUAGGGUUAAGACAAUUACUUGGUGGCUAGAGGAUAUAAGUUGUGGCUUAAGAUGAAACACUAGUGCUCAUAUAAUUUUUAUAUAUUUUUAAUUUAGUUGAAGUGAAAGAAGAGUCUCUCAUUUAAUAGUUUUGGGCAUAUAGAACUCAAAUAUUUCCAAUAACAAUGAUAUGGUGAAGCAUAAAGCUCUAAAAUUUCACAUUCUUCACUUUUGGAAUUUUUAUAGGCAAGUACUCUAUUCUUUUGUUGCUAAGUUGUGAGCAUGUCUAGACUAAAAAGUCAAUGUCGAAUGUAAAUUUCAUGUUAUGUAGUUUUGUACUAAUCUGCAUCUAGGAGAUGAAUAUGCAUAGUUGACUUUGGGAAAAAGGUAAGUCGUGCAUAUAACUUAAUGAGAAUAAUAAGUAAAGAUAUUAUAUGAUUGAAAAUUUUAUUUAAUAUAUAAAAGUCAAUUUCAGAGACAAGCAUACUUAGUCAUGACUAUUUUAAUAUUUUUUGAUAAGGUGGUUAGUGUUUAUUGACUUUGGUUAGGUGGUUCUAAACUUUAAAAUAUUGAUAAGAACUUGAGAUUUGUUGUGCAACACUUUAAUUGUUAACUUGAACACUUCACAUGAGUGGAUUGUGUAGAGUGCUAAUUAUUAUGAAAUGAGGCAUGCAAUGUAGAUUCAUGAUAUAAUCAUAGUUGUGAGAUAGUUAGUGUGAUUUUUUACUUUUUAAUAUAUUUCUUUGAACUAAUAUUAGGUUUGAAUAUAGGCUGAAUAAUAUUUGAAAUUUAAGUGUAAGUUAUUCCCAGUCACUAUUCAUAAAAAACUGAGGCCAUUUUACAUUAAGGGGAUUCAAGAGUUCAAUAGUUAUUAUUACUUACUCUGUAUACAACUGAAUAUGCUUUGUAUUGUUGUUUCACACUUAAGUGGGUUUGUUCAUGAGGUGAAUUAUGAUUACAUCUGUAGUACAUGCACAAAUCUGGAGCUUCCAUGCAUAGGUGAAAUCUCCAAGUUGACUAAGAUAAUUGCAAAUUUCCUUUGCCAUGUGAAGAGAGAAGAUUUUGCACCUAAAUAUCUUCAAAGGGAAUGUCAAUGUUGCACUUGUAAUAAGUUUAUUAUUUGUCAAAAUAUCAUAUUUGCAAAUCAAGUGGUGCUUAUGGACAAGUUAAAUACACAAAUAAUAAGGGUGUGCUAAAGAAGUGACUAUAGUUUAUAUAUCGUGAGGUAUUUAUGAAUUAAUUGGUUCAAUUUUUUAGGGAUAAUCUCAACUAUUAUACUUCUCAUUGUCACACAUACAAAUGGCAAGUAAAACAAUUGAAGUUGAUAUCAAAUGAUGUUCUAGAAAAUUCUAUUGUGUCAAUUAUUGAUUUUCCCAAUAAUUACUCCACUGUUUCUUAGGCACAAACUCAAAUACCAACAACAAUAACAACAAAAAUCCUCAAGCUUAAACCUCAACAACAUAUGAAAACUUAAUUUGAAUUUUUUUUCUCAUCAAGAUUUUUAAACAAUCAAGCUCUGAGUUGGAGUCAGUCCACUUUACUUGAAGGGUAAGCUUUUUAAAAAAGAACCAAACAGUAUCAAAACACAAACAACAAAUAGUACUACUAGUGUUUGCAACAUGUAAGUCUAAGGUGGUUAAGUUUAAAAACUCUAUUAUUAGUAAACUCUAUUAUUGGUAACAAGAUGAUAUAGGGAUUGAAUUUGAUUAUAGAAUCCCAUUUUUUUUAUGGUCUUCCUUGGUCAACUGCUCAUAUAUUUGAUUUGACUAAAGGUUGAAUUUUAGAAAAAUGAGGAGGCAACUGAAAUUAAACUAAUGACACAUCGACUACAUCCAACUACAACCAAUUGCUCUACCACUAAACUAUACCUACUUAGUAAUUAAAUGUAAUAAACUUAAUAAAAAUUGUUGUAUAGGCAAUGAGGAUCAUACUGAAUUUGAUUAUUUGAGCAAAGCUACUGUUAUAUUUGAGAACUACAUUAUCUUCUAUAAAGACCAUUUUCACAAGGUGAAAAUAAAGAGGCAAUAAGGAUUAAAUGCUACUGAACUAUACAUUUUUAAUCAUUAAAUGCAAUUAGUUUAACAUUAAUGUUUUGUGACCUAAUAAUGUAGUUGGUUUGUUAACAAGUUUGAUUUGGGUGAUGAAAGGUAUGUGAUAAGAUUUGCUAAUGAAAUAUUUUAAAGAAAGAGGUAAUAAAUUGAAUAGGUGAUAUGCAUAAUUACAAUUCUUCCUCAUGACCAAGAAAUUAUACUGUUGAGAUUAACAAAUAGACAAAGGCUUGUUAAUAUGGACUUGUUAAGUUGGUUGAUUGCUGAUAGACUAGGAUUUUCUUAGUAAAAAUAUUCAAUUUAAAUGAGUUUUUAAUUAUAUGCAUAAAAAAAUUAAUAAAAAGAAUUAUUAAAAUUAAAAAUUAAGUAUCUAGUAGAACAUCUGUGGUGGCAGGAUGAGAGGUGUCACUUCACAUGCAUACAUCAUGGCUAUCAAUAUGGUAUUUUACUUUGAUAUUAAUAUUAUAUUUUUAUAUAUCAAAACUUUUGAUAUAACCAAAAAACUAUUCUUCGAAAAAUGGAAGAAAUUUAUUUAAGCUUUUCUUUGUGCCUAAGCCACAAUUGAGCUUAAGUUAUUUUGGAAUUUUUAUAUUUGCAGAAGCCAUAAUCAAGUUAACAAAUUAAAAGGAGAGCAUAACAAACUCCAAGCUACAUAAGAGUGUCUUUGAUCACCAAACUUUUGGCAAUCUUAGAUUUGAGCUGGUAUGUUCUAAUGAAGAUACUCUUAGGAAGAUUCUUGUAUAUACUCUUCAAGAAGAUUCCCGGAAUAAACUAUUUCCGUAAAGUAAGGUGGUGAAAAGGCUGGCUGUGAAGAAGCUGAAGCAAUGCAGGCAGCAACUGGCCGAUCUCCCUGACGACUUGCUUCUUCUCAUCCUGAGCAGAUUUAACGAUGGAUUCGAGCAAUCCAAACAGCUUCCCAGCUUAAGGCUUGGAUUGAAAUUCUGGUUUGCUAUAGAUCCCAUGUUCCUCGUCAGUAUGGAAACUUUACACUCUCUAGAGCUAGUAUCCCCAUCACGAUGGACCUCUAGGCCUGCAGAUGUUAACCAGUUACUCUGUCCAUUGCUACAGGUUUGUGAGAUAGAUUGUAUUACAGGCCGCAAAGGGAGAUCAACAUUACAGGCUAUGCUAUAGGAUGUGUGGGUUCCUUGUUAAGUCUCCAAUGCUGGAAACACUAGAGCUUAUUAAAGGGACUCGAUGAUUAUCCAGACCUGCGUUACAUGCUGGUUAGAUCUCUAUCAAAUAAGAACAGAGCCCGACCUGAGAACAGAUCGUCCGCUCUCGAGCCCGGCUCUGUUCUCGGGCUUCUUGUCAAACAACGGGGCUCGCCCUCCGGAGAAUCGGAGAUUCACGGCUGAUCACCGAUUUGGGCAGCUCAAAGAAAACCUUGAAAGCAGGGCAUAUGUGCUCGUGUCUCACCUCCUAGCGGCCGGAAUUCAGGUUAGGGUUCUUGGCAGCUGCCAUGCUUGCAAGAAAGAAGGCGGAGGCGAAGCGUGUGAAGGCGCGGCUCCGCGAUGUGGAUUUCGCCAGGCUUCAGGCUCCAGGCCGGUCGCAGACGUUGCCCUUUCCAGGUUUGAGUACCUCCGCCGUAGGCAAGAGGCCACCACGGGAAUUUGAGUUUGUGGGUCGUUCGGCGUACUCGGACAUCAUGAGGCUGGUUAUAGAAGAAGACCCACAAUCCCCGACUCGGGGCCUGCUCAUUACUGGUGCCAGGGGGAAAGGAAAGAGUUGCAUGUUGCGAGCGGUUGCAGUGGAGCUUGUUGGACGCUCUCAACGAGCAAUAUGCUUUUGGUACCUGGACGCUUGUCAGGACGUGCUGCGCCAAGUUCAGGACUCUCUUCUGUUUGCAUACAGUGACAGUGAGGAAGCGCUUGCAGAGAUUGAACGCGUCAGCUCUGUGGAGUCGUUGUCUGGCUUUCUCGAGGGCAGAAAGGCGGCUGGGGAUUUUAUUUUCUUUGUGAGUGAUGAUGAGGAGAACUACGAUGAUCAACACAAGGAUGGUACUUCACGCAGGCGAGCUGAGGCGAAGAAGUGGCUGGAAGCUUUGCAAAGAGGGUGCGACGUUGUAAUCAAGACCUUGUCGCCUGAAGCUCAUGACGUGAGAGUGGGCGCAAGCCAGAUGGAAGAGUACGAGCUGAAAGAUAACUUUGGCGAGGUAAGCCUCAUUCCCUUUUGUUUUUUCCGGGUGCUUUUUUAUUGAAUUAUCCGCGCUACAGGAGGAGUAUUCUUCGUUCAUAAGAGGAACCACCACCGUCCUUGGAGGGAUGCUCAAGAACCAUCCGGACCGUGAGGAGGAUGUUCUCUUGUUUGCUGGAAAGCACCCCAUGUCCUUGUUCUACCUCAGCAGUGCGUGUGACGAGUAUGUACGAGACAUCACCGGUAUCUCCUGUUCAAGGAAAAGGCCCAGGCUUAAAAGUUUUGGGAUGAUAGAUGUCCAAACGGGUGAAACGCGAGUGUACGAAGAUCCUGGGAAGAUGGAACUAGAGGGUUUCCUAGAU
RNAcentral lists this long non-coding RNA (8154 nucleotides) under Selaginella moellendorffii. RNAcentral describes it as "long non-coding RNA (SMOE_LNC002277)". Lineage: Eukaryota; Viridiplantae; Streptophyta; Lycopodiopsida; Selaginellales; Selaginellaceae. The record is from RNAcentral.